Molecule: ribosomal RNA, 251 nt
Filed under: uncultured bacterium
Lineage: Bacteria
Description: partial 16S ribosomal RNA
Rfam family: Bacterial small subunit ribosomal RNA
Source: RNAcentral
CAGAGGGUGCAAGCGUUACUCGGAAUUACUGGGCGUAAAGCGCGCGUAGGUGGUUUGUUAAGUUGGAUGUGAAAUCCCCGGGCUCAACCUGGGAACUGCAUUCAAAACUGACAAGCUAGAGUAUGGUAGAGGGUGGUGGAAUUUCCUGUGUAGCGGUGAAAUGCGUAGAUAUAGGAAGGAACACCAGUGGCGAAGGCGACCACCUGGACUGAUACUGACACUGAGGUGCGAAAGCGUGGGGAGCAAACAGG